UCCAUCACUUUUCCUUGACCUAUCUAGCUAUUUGCCUUUAUGAAAUAUCUUUGCGCAAGGUUUAUUAUUUACGAGAUACCCUAGAUAGCGUUUAGAAAAUAGAAUAUAGAAUUUUGGAAGACAAAUAGCUAGAUAGGUCAAGGAAAAGUGAUGGA
Paramuricea clavata is the source of this 155-nucleotide non-coding RNA. NCBI's taxonomy places the organism in Eukaryota, Metazoa, Cnidaria, Anthozoa, Malacalcyonacea, Plexauridae. The record is from the annotation of a GenBank genome assembly.